This 659-nucleotide ribosomal RNA is filed under the name bacterium amp-w-87. RNAcentral describes it as "bacterial SSU rRNA". It matches the Rfam family "Bacterial small subunit ribosomal RNA", at positions 52 to 709 of the family's 1533-position model. The record is from RNAcentral.
CACAUGCAGUCGAACGAUACUUUCCAGCUUGCUGGGAAGGAAAGUGGCGCACGGGUGCGUAACGCGUAUGCAACCUACCUUAAUCAGGGGGAUAGCCCGAAGAAAUUCGGAUUAACACCGCAUAAAAUCACAGUAUAGCAUUAUACAAUGAUCAAAUAUUUAUAGGAUUAAGAUGGGCAUGCGUGACAUUAGCUAGUUGGCGGGGUAACGGCCCACCAAGGCUACGAUGUCUAGGGGAUCUGAGAGGAUGACCCCCCACACUGGUACUGAGACACGGACCAGACUCAUACGGGAGGCAGCAGUAAGGAAUAUUGGUCAAUGGAGGCAACUCUGAACCAGCCAUGCCGCGUGCAGGAAGACAGCCCUCUGGGUCGUAAACUGCUUUUAUUCGGGAAUAAACCUACUUACGUGUAAGUAGCUGAAUGUACCGAAGGAAUAAGGAUCGGCUAACUCCGUGCCAGCAGCCGCGGUAAUACGGAGGAUCCAAGCGUUAUCCGGAUUUAUUGGGUUUAAAGGGUGCGUAGGCGGCUUUUUAAGUCAGGGGUGAAAGACGGUAGCUCAACUAUCGCAGUGCCCUUGAUACUGAAGAGCUUGAAUGGACUAGAGGUAGGCGGAAUGUGACAAGUAGCGGUGAAAUGCAUAGAUAUGUCACAGAACAC